AGCUCAAAGAGUUGUUGAAGUUCGUCGUAGUUAUGGAAUACCCCUGAAUGGUCAUGUAGAUGAGUACGAUGUGCAUGAAGAAUGGGACGAUGAUAGUCCAAGGAAAGUCAGUGACUUCUUCCAUAAAGUUCAUAAUGAAGCUAGUCGACCAACUCAUUCCACUCUUUUGAGCCCUCCAAAGUUGAUCACUGUAAGGCCUAGUUGGACAAGUGAAGAUCAUGACUCUCCAAAGUAUAGGGAGCAUCACGAUUUUAGUGGCAGCCCUCUUCGUAAUAAAUUUGAAGGGUUUCACCUUCAAGGUAGUCGAGGAUCAAGUCCG
Molecule: unclassified non-coding RNA, 319 nt
Filed under: Hevea brasiliensis (rubber tree)
Lineage: Eukaryota; Viridiplantae; Streptophyta; Magnoliopsida; Malpighiales; Euphorbiaceae
Source: RNAcentral